UGGGGAAUAUUGGGCAAUGGGCGAAAGCCUGACCCAGCGACGCCGCGUGAGGGAAGAAGGUCUUCGGAUUGUACACCUCUUUCAGCAGGGAAGAAGAAAGUGACGGUACCUGCAGAAGAAGUCACGGCUAACUACGUGACAGCAGCCGCGGUAAUACGUAGGUGGCGAGCGUUAUCCGGAAUUACUGGGUGUAAAGGGUGUGUAGGCGGGAGUGCAAGUCAGACGUGAAAACUAUGGGCUCAACCCAUAACGUGCGUUUGAAACUGUGCUUCUUGAGAGUGGGAGAGGUAAACGGAAUUCCUGGUGUAGUAGUGAAAUGCGUAGAUAUCAGGAGGAACACCGGUGGCGAAGGCGGUUUACUGGACCACAACUGACGCUGAGACACGAAAGCGUGGGGAGCAAACAGG
RNAcentral lists this ribosomal RNA (407 nucleotides) under uncultured bacterium. RNAcentral describes it as "bacterial SSU rRNA". It matches the Rfam family "Bacterial small subunit ribosomal RNA", at positions 355 to 776 of the family's 1533-position model. The record is from RNAcentral.